Molecule: unclassified non-coding RNA, 350 nt
Filed under: uncultured bacterium
Lineage: Bacteria
Description: contains 16S-23S intergenic spacer region
Rfam family: 5.8S ribosomal RNA (bases 1-124)
Source: RNAcentral
GCAUCGAUGAAGAACGCAGCGAAAUGCGAUACGUAAUGUGAAUUGCAAAUUCAGUGAAUCAUCGAGUCUUUGAACGCACAUUGCGCCCCCUGGUAUUCCGGGGGGCAUGCCUGUCCGAGCGUCAUUGCUGCCCUCAAGCACGGCUUGUGUGUUGGGCCCCGUCCUCCGAUCCCGGGGGACGGGCCCGAAAGGCAGCGGCGGCACCGCGUCCGGUCCUCGAGCGUAUGGGGCUUUGUCACCCGCUCUGUAGGCCCGGCCGGCGCUUGCCGAUCAACCCAAAUUUUUAUCCAGGUUGACCUCGGAUCAGGUAGGGAUACCCGCUGAACUUAAGCAUAUCAAUAAGCGGAGGA